RNAcentral lists this ribosomal RNA (888 nucleotides) under uncultured eukaryote. Its description in RNAcentral is "SSU rRNA". It matches the Rfam family "Eukaryotic small subunit ribosomal RNA", at positions 563 to 1471 of the family's 1831-position model. The record is from RNAcentral.
UGUGCCAAGCAGCCGCGGUAAUUCCAGCUCCAAUAGCGUAUAUUAAAGUUGUUGCGGUUAAAAAGCUCGUAGUUGGAUCUCGGCGGGCAGGGGGUGGUUCGCUCUUCAGCGCUACUGCCCCGCUUUGCCCGUGUGAUUGGCGGAGGUUUCGGGGUGCUCUUCGUUGAGUGACUCGGAGCGCCGUCAGGUUUACUUUGAAAAAAUUAGAGUGCUCAAAGCAGGCUUUUCACGCUUGAAUAUUCGUGCAUGGAAUAAUGGAAUAGGAACUCGUUUCUAUUUUGUUGGUUUUCGGAAAUCGAGUUAAUGAUUAACAGGGACAAUUGGGGGCAUUAGUAUUCAGACGACAGAGGUGAAAUUCUUGGACCGUCUGAAGACUGACUACUGCGAAAGCAUUUGCCAAGAGUGUUUUCAUUAAUCAAGAACGAAAGUUAGAGGUUCGAAGGCGAUCAGAUACCGCCCUAGUUCUAACCAUAAACGAUGCCAGCUAGCGAUCUGCCGAGUUUUUUUUGUAGGCUCCGCAGGAAGCUUUCGGGAAACCAAAGCUUUUGGGUUCCGGGGGAAGUAUGGUUGCAAAGCUGAAACUUAAAGGAAUUGACGGAAGGGCACCACCAGGAGUGGAGCCUGCGGCUUAAUUUGACUCAACACGGGAAAUCUCACCAGGCCCGGACACUGGAAGGAUUGACAGAUUGAGAGCUCUUUCUCGAUUCGGUGGGUGGUGGUGCAUGGCCGUUCUUAGUUGGUGGAGUGAUUUGUCUGGUUAAUUCCGAUAACGAACGAGACUCUGUCCUGCUAAAUAGUUGGGUCGUCCUUCGUGCGAUCCAAGUUCUUCUUAGAGGGACUGGCUGCGUCUAGCAGCACGAGAUUGAGCAAUAACAGGUCUGUGAUGCC